CAGCAGCCGCGGUAAUACGUAGGGGGCAAGCGUUAUCCGGAUUUACUGGGUGUAAAGGGAGCGUAGACGGGAUGGCAAGUCUGAAGUGAAAUCCUGCGGCUUAACCGCAGAAUUGCUUAGGAAACUGUCAACCUGGAGUGUCGGAGAGGUAAGCGGAAUUCCUAGUGUAGUAGUGAAAUGCGUAGAGAUUAGGAAGAACACCGGAGGCGAAGGCGGCUUACUGGACGAUAACUUACGUUGAGGCUCGAAAGCGUGGGGAGCAAACAGGAAUAGAUACCCUGGUAGUCCACGCUGUAAACGAUGAUUACUAGGUGUUGGGGAACAAUAGUUCUUCGGUGCCGUCGCUAACGCAAUAAGUAAUCCACCUGGGGAGUACGUUCGCAAGAAUGAAACUCAAAGAAAUUGACG
RNAcentral lists this ribosomal RNA (408 nucleotides) under uncultured rumen bacterium. Its description in RNAcentral is "bacterial SSU rRNA". It matches the Rfam family "Bacterial small subunit ribosomal RNA", at positions 509 to 915 of the family's 1533-position model. The record is from RNAcentral.